RNAcentral lists this ribosomal RNA (483 nucleotides) under uncultured bacterium. RNAcentral's name for it is "bacterial SSU rRNA". It matches the Rfam family "Bacterial small subunit ribosomal RNA", at positions 28 to 507 of the family's 1533-position model. The record is from RNAcentral.
GAUGAACGCUAGCGGCAGGCCUAAUACAUGCAAGUCGAGGGGUAACAUGACGCUUCGGUGUUGAUGACGACCGGCGCACGGGUGCGUAACGCGUAUGCAAUCUACCUACAGCAGAGGGAUAGCCCGUGGAAACAUGGAUUAAUACCUCAUAAUACAGGGGGCCCACCUGGGCAUAUUGUUAAAGAUUUAUCGGCUGUAGAUGAGCAUGCGUCCCAUUAGCUAGUUGGUACGGUAACGGCGUACCAAGGCGAUGAUGGGUAGGGGUUCUGAGAGGAUGAUCCCCCACACUGGUACUGAGAUACGGACCAGACUCCUACGGGAGGCAGCAGUAGGGAAUAUUGGUCAAUGGACGAAAGUCUGAACCAGCCAUGCCGCGUGCAGGAAGACGGCCUUCUGGGUUGUAAACUGCUUUUCUCAGGGAAGAAAAAGGUCUUGCGAGACAAAUUGCCGGUACCUGAGGAAUAAGCACCGGCUAACUCCGUG